This 213-nucleotide unclassified non-coding RNA is filed under the name uncultured Inocybe. Its description in RNAcentral is "sequence contains ITS2". Lineage: Eukaryota; Fungi; Basidiomycota; Agaricomycetes; Agaricales; Cortinariaceae. The record is from RNAcentral.
AAUUCUCAACUGCACUAGUUCUCUCUGGUGUAGCUUGGAUAAUGGGGGUUAUAAUUUUGCAGGCCCUUCUUUCAAUGGGUCAGCUCCCCUGAAAUGCAUUAGUGGUCUGAAACUACUACAGGUGUGAUAAUUAUCUAUGCCUCUGGUACUUUGUAUGGACUGCUUUCUAACCAAGUGACUUUCCUUGCAAAAAAGGAUUGCACAUUUUGACAC